CGUAAUAUUCGUAUUUACUGGGGCUGUUCGUAGAGAGCGAAACAGCUUUCUUUAUUUGCAGUUGACGAAGGCUUACCUUUGCAAAAAAACAAAUUUCUCAUUUUCGUCGUUGUUUAUAAUUUAUAUCAUCAUGGCGGAUAACGAACAGAAAGCGGCGCAGUUAAUUGCUGAGGCUGAAAAGAAAUUGAACUCGGGAAAAAGCUUUUUCGGGUCUCUUUUUGGAGGUGGAUCCUCCAAAGUUGAUGAAGCUAUAGAAUGCUACCAGCGAGCUGCAAACUUGUAUAAAAUGGCCAAAAAGUGGUCUCAAGCUGGCCAGGCCUUUUGUGAGGCAGCAGCUCUUCACCUUAAAGCUGCUGGACGUCAUGAUGCUGCAACCAACUAUAUUGAUGCUGGCAAUUGCUACAAGAAAUCUGAGCCAAAUGAGGCAGUUGCAUGUCUCCUUAAAGCUAUUGAAAUAUAUACUGAUAUGGGAAGAUUUUCGAUUGCUGCAAAACACCAUCAAACAAUUGCUGAGAUUUAUGAAUCAGAAUUGGCAGAUCUUGAUAGAGCUGUACAGCAUUAUGAACAAGCAGCUGAUUAUUUUAAAGGAGAGGAAAGCAAUAGUUCGGCCAACAAAUGCCUUUUAAAAGUGGCUCAGUAUGCUGCACAGUUGGAAAAUUACCAAAAGGCAAUUCAGAUAUAUGAACAAGUUGCAUCAGCCUCACUGGAUAAUUCACUUUUGAAGUACAGUGCUAAAGAGUACUUCUUUCGCGCUGCUCUUUGUCACUUGUGCAUUGAUUUGUUGAAUGCCCAGCAUGCUGUGCAACAGUAUGAGAACAUGUAUCCAGCUUUUCAGGAUUCGAGAGAAUGUAAGCUGGUGAAAGCCCUAAUUGGUCAUAUGGAAGAACACAACGUAGAUGGAUUUACUGAAACGGUCAAAGAUUACGACUCUAUUUCGAGACUGGACCAGUGGUUUACAACUAUCCUUUUGAGAAUCAAGAAACAGAUGGCCGAAACUCCCGAUCUAUGUUAAGAAGUGACAGCCAAGGGAAAAGAUGAUCACGAGCCUAUAGGUUAACCGUAGCUAUUUUGCUGGUUUAUGGCACACCUUUAAUUCGCUUCGUCGCAGAGUUGUACUCUUCUAUACGUUGCAUUCCAAAUCUUUCACUUGGCUCUCUGUCGUAUAUCGUUCAUUAUAAUUUUUUUCGAAUUCGUUCUUGUCCACUGUUCUCCUCCGUUAUAGUGUACAGUAUAUGUUCAACUUUGAACUUCACCUUGUUUUAUAAAUUUCCUAUUGCCAUGCGGUAUA
This is an RNA transcript of Daphnia carinata, 1288 nucleotides long. It is a transcript of the gene named alpha-soluble NSF attachment protein-like, with no coding region annotated. Lineage: Eukaryota; Metazoa; Arthropoda; Branchiopoda; Diplostraca; Daphniidae. The transcript has 6 exons. The record is from RefSeq and is a predicted model, not a curated record.